This is a long non-coding RNA of Papaver somniferum (opium poppy), 1489 nucleotides long. RefSeq lists it as uncharacterized. NCBI's taxonomy places the organism in Eukaryota, Viridiplantae, Streptophyta, Magnoliopsida, Ranunculales, Papaveraceae. The record is from RefSeq and is a predicted model, not a curated record. The transcript is spliced from 8 exons.
GUAGGCGAGUUAAGGACUGGGGACAUUUGUGGUGAGAUUCGUGUACUUUGUUACAAGCCACAGCUCUUCCAAGUGUGCACUAAAAUAUUGAAUCAGCUGCUGCGUUUAAAUUGUACUGCAUUCCUAAACAUUGUCCAGGUGAAUGUUGGUGAUGGGACCACAAUCAUGAACAAUCUCCUAUAGCACUUAAAAGAGAUGAAUGACCCCAGUAAUGCAAGGAGUUCUGACGGAGACAGAAGAUGCUGGCUCAUGGUAAACUGGACCUCCCGCUAUCUGUGUUUUGCAACCCUUAGAGGAGUUGAUCUUUUGUUGCAUCCAUCAUUAAGAGAAGCAUAUAGCGGCAGCUAAAGGAAGCGAAAAUUGUGUCCACAUCCCUGUUACAAAUGAAGUAAUAAAAACAGUAAGCUGUUUAGUUUGCAAUCAAGAUGAUAAUUCCGACAAUCUAAUGCCGAUUAGGGGAAAUCAAUUGCCAAUUUUUUUGUAGUCGUUAUCUAUUCAUGCUGGAUUGAUGGCUCUUUCUUUCUGCAUCGUGUCAUCUGCUCGUGGAUCCGAAGCACAUGAUAUGGAUUCAUCGGUAUCUUCUGAUGCAGUUCCUUGGACAAUGAUAAAACCUUGUUAUUGGAUACUCUGAGACUUGUCAUUGAGAGACUUGUUGAUGAUAAAGACUUGUCACUGGUUGUCUAAAGGAUGGUGAUCCUCGUCUAUCUAGCUUUGGCCUGGUGAAAAAUAGUCGAGAUGGAAAAAGCUGUAGUACAAAUCUCAUUUAUACUCCACCAGAGUUCAUGGCCUACAUGUUCUUUUUCCCCUUUUUAUUGCCAUGAAUCAGUUCUUAGAGUGUGAGAUUCUGAUUUAUUAAUUAUUUCCUGAUGCAACUUCUGUUUAUUUUACUUAUCUUUUAUUUCUUACAGGUUUUAUGCAAAUGGAAGACACAUUCUAUCUGCUGGUCAGGAUCGUGCCUUCCGUCUUUUCUCUGUUAUUCAGGUGAAAAGAAAUGUCAUUUGCUACGGGGUCUUUGUAGUAAUACUAUGUACUGAUGUGCUGUGAAAUGGCAGCUGAUUAUCACUCGGAAACACCUCAUUUAAUAAGUAUCCAGAUUUGGAGGAGUGCAAGAGAUUUACUCGUGUGAAUUCUUCAAGUAAUUAAAGCUGCUGCUGGGGAACUUGAAUCGAAUCAAGAGUGUAAUGCUACCCACUGGUCUCCAAAGGAAUUCGAACAUAAGUUAAGGGUUAACGCGUAAGCAGAGGAGUUGAACUCGCCGUGCAUUGAGAUCAGAUGUUAACUUACAAGUAGGAGUUUCUUAUAUUGGGUAUUCUCUUUUGAAGCAAAACUAUGUUAAGAGUCUUGAUUGAAAUCUAGAGUAAAUGUGGCACGAGUGAUAAAAUAGUGUUGUUUCCUUCCCUUUCUUUUGUAAAAUAUCUUGACUGGUUAAACAUGUAUCAUUGAACAUAUGAAUCUCAAUAUAAGUGGUGCAGAAAUUGUUUGGUUGAUU